RNAcentral lists this ribosomal RNA (535 nucleotides) under uncultured bacterium. Its description in RNAcentral is "bacterial SSU rRNA". It matches the Rfam family "Bacterial small subunit ribosomal RNA", at positions 81 to 634 of the family's 1533-position model. The record is from RNAcentral.
AGAGACAUGACUGAGUGGCGGACGGGUGAGUAACGCGUGGGUAACCUGCCUUACACAGGGGGAUAACAGAUAGAAAUGUCUGCUAAAACCGCAUAAUACAAGAGAGACGCCUGUCUUUUUUGUCAAAUAUUUAUAGGUGUAAGAUGGGCCCGCGUCUGAUUAGCUAGUUGGUGAGGUAAUGGCUCACCAAGGCGACGAUCAGUAGCCGGCUUGAGAGAGUGAUCGGCCACAUUGGGACUGAGACACGGCCCAAACUCCUACGGGAGGCAGCAGUGGGGGAUAUUGCACAAUGGGGGAAACCCUGAUGCAGCGACGCCGCGUGAGUGAAGAAGUAUUUCGGUAUGUAAAGCUCUAUCAGCAGGGAAGAUAAUGACGGUACCUGACUAAGAAGCCCCGGCUAACUACGUGCCAGCAGCCGCGGUAAUACGUAGGGGGCAAGCGUUAUCCGGAUUUACUGGGUGUAAAGGGAGUGUAGGCGGUUCUGUAAGUCCGAUGUGAAAACCCAGGGCUCAACCCUGGGAUUGCAUUUGAAACU